CCCCGAAAGCUAUUUAGGUAGCGCCUCGUGAAUUCAUCUCCGGGGGUAGAGCACUGUUUCGGCUAGGGGGCCAUCCCGGCUUACCAACCCGAUGCAAACUGCGAAUACCGGAGAAUGUUAUCACGGGAGACACACGGCGGGUGCUAACGUCCGUCGUGAAGAGGGAAACAACCCAGACCGCCAGCUAAGGUCCCAAAGUCAUGGUUAAGUGGGAAACGAUGUGGGAAGGCCCAGACAGCCAGGAUGUUGGCUUAGAAGCAGCCAUCAUUUAAAGAAAGCGUAAUAGCUCACUGGUCGAGUCGGCCUGCGCGGAAGAUGUAACGGGGCUAAACCAUGCACCGAAGCUGCGGCAGCGACACUGUGUGUUGUUGGGUAGGGGAGCGUUCUGUAAGCCUGUGAAGGUGUGUCGUGAGGCAUGCUGGAGGUAUCAGAAGUGCGAAUGCUGA
RNAcentral lists this ribosomal RNA (446 nucleotides) under Salmonella enterica subsp. enterica serovar Enteritidis. RNAcentral's name for it is "partial 23S ribosomal RNA". It matches the Rfam family "Bacterial large subunit ribosomal RNA", at positions 857 to 1299 of the family's 2925-position model. The record is from RNAcentral. Lineage: Bacteria; Pseudomonadati; Pseudomonadota; Gammaproteobacteria; Enterobacterales; Enterobacteriaceae.